Molecule: non-coding RNA, 3038 nt
Organism: Podarcis lilfordi (Lilford's wall lizard)
Lineage: Eukaryota; Metazoa; Chordata; Lepidosauria; Squamata; Lacertidae
Source: the annotation of a GenBank genome assembly
CAACUUUGAGACAAUGGAUGUGGUAUAUCACAGAUAAAAUCCAAUGUACGUUUUCCUACCUAGAGACAACCACAAUGUAAUAUUGUUGCCUGUAACAAGUAUCUUUGUUUCAGGCUUCUGUACCCUAACUUUUGAACACCCAGUCUUUCUUAUGUUUCAGAAAUCUGUUCUACAUGGAGAUCAGGGAGACAUUUGUUUAAGGGCUUAUCCACACAUGUUUUUGCCUUGUUCUUUCCAGGUCAACACUUAAAAGCUCUGUAUCUGAGUGGGUUUUUUGUUUGUUUGUUUGUUUGUUUCUGUUUUUACCCAUGAGCUUUCCCCACGCUUCAGUACUCAGUUGCCAUUUGCUCCAAUUGAGCUUUAAAGAGCAUGUUUUCAUGGGGAAAGCUCUGGACAAAAAAAAAUGUCACUCAGAUACAGAGUUUUAAAGGAAGGAUCUUGCCUGGAAAGAGCAAAGGAAAGUAUAAUAAGCCCUAAGUUUGCUUUCCAAACUAAUUCAUAAAUCCAAACACAGCUAUCUUUGGAAUUCAUUAUUUGAAUCUUAUGGUGCUGUUCUCCAACCAAGAAAUGUAAACAAAAAUGCAUUUAAUAGGGCACUUUAUUUUAAGAAAAUUGUUUGCUUGCAAAAAAUAUUGAUUUUCCGGAGGAGUUUAAAAAGAAUCCUGUUUAUCCAGGCUCAAAGAUACUGUUCCUGGCUUCGCUGAAAUCACUGGUUGAGUGAACGUUUUAAACGGUUUGUAGAAUGUAUUUGUUUGUUCACUCACUGAGACUAUGCACGAAGCGGGAGCCAGUUCUGAAUGAAUUCAGCUUGCAAGAGUCAACUCCCAGCACUUGUGGCUGUAACCUUACCAUCCUUCCUCAUUCAGUUCUCUCUGGAAGAGGAAAAGUCCUACCUGCUGGGAGCUUUGAUCUCCUUUGGCUGACGAGUGCACAGGUGCUCUCCUUCCUUAUUGGUGUGCCUUCCCUCUCUGCAAAUAUUUGCUUUGGGUAAUAGCAGCUGCUCAUAUUUUAUGGUAUGCCAUCCCAAUCUUGGCCUAGAGCAGGUUUUUGGACACAUUACAGUGCCGGAUUUACGAGGCCAUUGAUCCAUAAAAUGAAAGCAAUAAUCAAAGUACAAAUAAAUAAAACAGUAUUUUUUUAAUGAUCUUUAUUGGUUUUACAGAUUUUACAAAUUUCACCAUCAUAAUACAUAAUACAUAUGUUUUCCUUUUAACCUUAAUACUUUAACUCUAAACAAGUUUGUACUUCCCUCCCUCCUUCUUCUGAUUUCUCUAUAUUUUCUUUAUAUUUACGCAUUUGUCAUGUUUGCAUUCUAUAUGUACUUAAUACUAUGGAAUAAUACUAUUCAAAAUUUCAUUAAAUAUAUAUCCUUCAGUUGUUGUAAUAUAUUUCUUCAGUGUUCUUAAAUCCAAAAUGAAUGAUUUUUAAUAAACAUUAUGAGGUCUAUUUCAGUUCCACAAAUUUGUGUAUAGUUCUUUUCUAUGUAUGUUGUAUAUUUCAUCCAGUCUCUUUGGAAUGCUUCGUCACCCUGUUCUCUGAUUUUUCCAGUCAAUUUUGCUAUUUCUGUGUACUCCAUGAGUUUCCGCUGCCAUUCUUCAACUGUGGGUAUUUCAUGUUGCUUCCAUUUCUGUGCAAGUAGUAUUCUUGCCACGGUCGUAGCAUAAAGGAACAGUUUCUGGUCACUCUUUAUUAUAUCAUCUCCAACCAUACCUAGCAAAAAUGCCUCUGUGUGGUUUUUUUGGAAAGUGUAUCUAAAAAACUUUUAAAACUCAUUAUAAAUAUUUCCCCAGAAGGUUUUAACUUUUGCAUAUAACCACCACAUGUGGAAAAAGUUUCCUUCCUUCAAUUCACAUUUCCAACAGUUCUUAUUUCUCAUUCUAUACAUCUUUGCUCACCUGGCAGUGGUAAGAUACCAUCUAUACAUCAUUUUUAAUAUAUUUUCCUUCUGGGUCACACAAGCAGUAAAUUUUAAUCCUAUGUUCCAUAGCUUUAACCAUUUAUCAUAUUCAAUAUUAUAACCUAUGUCAGUUGUCCACUUUGUCAGGACCUCUUUAAUUUCUUCAUCCUUUGUAUGCCACUCCAGCAGAAACUCAUAAAUUCUAGACAAUGUUUUUGUACUUCCUUGUAUUACAUCCAUUUCUAUCCUUGAUCUAACAUGUUCGAAGCCAUUGUUGUUUGUCCUUUAAAAAUAUAUUAUUGAACUGGUGGUAUUCCAACCAUCCUGUUAAUUUUGUUUUGAGAUCCUCAUAAAGCCUAAUUUUAAUAAUAUUAUUUUCUUCUAUCAAUAGGUCUCUGUAAGUUAACCAGUCUCCUUUCAUCACUCGGGAGAUUGACAACAUGGCAGGCGACAGGGACACGGUGGUUGUCAUCUCCCUGGACCAGCACUUCCGCCCUUCCCCACUGAGGUCUUCAUUCGAAGGAUGAUCAACAUCUGGGGAGCCAUCCAGCGCCUUCUCCUGAGGAGCCCAGAUACAAAAGUCAUCAUCAAAGGGGAGAACACCCGGGAGGUGUCGAUAGAACAAGAGCAAUGUGUGGGCGUCCAUGGCUAUACCCAAUACCUUGCACAAAAGGAUAUUUUUAGGGAUCUGAAGGUGGGUUUUGUUGAUGCCUGGGACAUGACAGUUGCUUACAGUGUGAACAUACUUCAACCACCAGAUCACGUGGUUGGAAAUCAGACUCAUAUGUUUUUAACUUACAUAUGUUGAAGCGCUAAGGGAUAUCAAAUGUGAAAAGUUCAAUUACCCAAAGCAAAGGAUUCUGGAUUGGCAAAACUGUCAGUUAUAUAUACGGAACUGCCAGAUCCUUCCCAAGGGUCCACCUGGAAUCAUUUUCCAGCAGUGCCUGUGCAGAUCCUUCUGAGAAGCUUUUCCCUGUGCCACUAAUAUCUCAUGGGGUGCCACUUCAGACUAAGGUGGGGUAGGGUGAUUUGGAGGUGCAGGUAAGUUGUUAUGGAGAGUGGAGCAGAAGACCUCACGUCCCAGCCACCUCUUCUGCAGAGGGGUUUGCAGAAGUGUUUUGGUAGGGGGCGAGGAGAAAAC